UGAAGGAUCUGACCAUGAUCAGCACUCUCUCCAAACUAGAACUCCCAGGAUAGGAAUGGUAUAAAACACAUACAUAUUUGUAGUGUAGAUAGGUGCCCACCAGCUACAUCUCUCCCUAGUGCUGAAGGAUGAGACCUUGCCCCCAUCCUGGCAGGUGGCAAUUAUGAUAUCACCUGUGGUUUCUCUAUGAUGAUGUGCUCAUUUUCUCCUUGGUGAGGAGGUCAGGCUCAGUGAUGUGAAGGAUGCAAGAGAAGCAGCAGUAUCUCACAAGGGCAGCUUGGUUCCCUUCUCCUGUUCUAAGAAUAGGUGGCAUAAUCAUGGCAAAGCAGUUGUGCUCCUUUUAAAUAUACAAAUGAACGGUAAGGCUGCCGGGCCAACUUACAAGGAACUGCUAUCUGUUCUCUGAAGAGUGAGAUACUUCUCCAAGUAGGUGAAAAGGACACCUUUGUCUUGCAAAUGUACAGACUUCUAUGGAGAACUGGAUAAGAGGAAACAAUCUUUAUCUGAAGGAAAUAACUUGGAUUAAAAAGCAUAAUCCAAUUCAUGGUUUCCCCGCAAGCUCAAAAAAGCAACAAACUCAUAACAAAAAGCCUGGUGAGAAGCAAGGAUCACCAACAUUGUUGCUUUGCUUCAGGAAGAAGAAAAUGUGAAACAUCACCAACAUGGAAAUAUAUCCAUAAGAAGAAGAUUCAGCAGGGAACACACUUCUUGUUUACAAAUGAUGCGUUAUCGUCUCGAACUAUCUGGUUGGUUUCCAUUUGCUUCCUCCAAUGACUCCAGCAUUACUUUUUUUUUAAAAGGUGCUGCUAACGCUUAGUCCAUGAUAAAUGAUAGUGACAGCACUGCAUGGAGAAGGGCUGUAGCCUCACCAGCAUCGCAGGAGAAACAUUUACAUUUUCAUCUCACCAGGCUCAGUAUUUUGCUUGCUGAUAUUACAUUUGCUCUUUUUGCUGAUUCUGGGCUGCAGCAGGUGGCUCCUUAUCUUGUGGCUGGUUCUGAGACCACAAGUUAUGGUUUGUCUGGUCCUCCAUGGCACUUUAAGAUGUCACAAAACUGGCCCAGAUACGUUAGUCCUUCGUAAACAUCAGAGCCGUUCUGGGCUGCUUUUGCAAUAGUGAAAAAUCAAUUUUCUUGAUUAAUAUAUUGCAUUUGGACAGUAGGAAUGUGCAAACUGGCUCAAGGUAGAGACAGUUCACCAUCGAACCAGGCCUGUUUGAUGGCUCGGCUCAACCUUGGGCACACAAAUGGCCAGUGCACACAUGCGGCAGUCUUCAAAAUGGCCACCGUGAGCAGGGAGAGGGCUGAAAAGGCCUGUAAAUGGGCCAAACUGGCCCUAAAAGGACUGGAGGGAGACCAGCGGGGGGAGCAGGAACCAUUGGAGACCACCCACAGCUAUGGCAGUACCCCCUGGAGGCUGCCGGACCAGGUGAAUGCUGACACCUAAUGGUAUUCGACUGGAACUGCUUCCAUACAUCUCCAUUGCUGAGAACGACUUAGGAGCCAUUCACUCAACCCUGUUGAUAUGAUGGAAUCUGAGUUUAAAUAAAUACAAGUUUUGUUUGCAAUGCAGUAAAUCAGCCUUUUGGACAAUUUUCCACAGGUCCCCGCAUCCCUUACAAGCCUGGUGUCACUUGCCCUUUGGAAUUUAGAAUCUGACCAGGCUGGAAUGGGGAACUCUUACUUCCUCUGCUCUGCCAUUUUGGAGAAGAGCCAGCAGCAUGGUUGGGGUGGCUCACAGACUGUGCGUCUUCUUCUUUCUUUCUCACUCAGCAAAAUGAGCAAGCCUGAGGGGAAACAGGCAGCCACACAUUGGAGAGUUCUUCUAGGGGAAAUGGGACCUGCUCUCCUCUAUUCUUUGGUAUCACACCCCCUUUGGGGAAUUGAGGUGCUAAAUAUCUAGCUUCCCUACACUUUUAAAAGUUUAGGAUGGCAUUUACUAGUAUGAACGUGUUGCACUCAGCCCUUUUGGAAAAAAGAUUUGAUAAGGGAUUGUCAGACUCUGGCUUAUGCCUUUGUGGUGCAGGCCUCCCUGAAACAGUUUUACAUGUGUUGUUAUAUUGCUCUUUUUACAAUGAUACUAGGAAAGAACUUAUAUUCCCUCUACUAGAGCAAUUUCCAGGAAGAGCCGACCCCUUUUAUUUGAAUUUCUGUCUUGAGGAUCAAAAUAAUGAGGUUACUAAGGUGGCGGCAAAAUUCUUUUUUGUCGCAAUUAGAUUAAGAUCUUGUCUAAGGUUUAAUUCAUAGGAGCUUACAGUUUUAUUCUGCUUUAUAUGUGUUAUAUAAUGGUUGGUACAUUGUGUUUUUAAUCUUGUUUAAUCUUUCUUGUAUGUUUUCUGUAUGGCCUAUGGCUGUAAUAAAAAUGAUUGAUUGAUUGACA
Hemicordylus capensis (graceful crag lizard) is the source of this 2377-nucleotide long non-coding RNA. RefSeq lists it as uncharacterized. The record is from RefSeq and is a predicted model, not a curated record. Lineage: Eukaryota; Metazoa; Chordata; Lepidosauria; Squamata; Cordylidae. The transcript is spliced from 4 exons.